Molecule: long non-coding RNA, 1664 nt
Organism: Hirundo rustica (Barn swallow)
Lineage: Eukaryota; Metazoa; Chordata; Aves; Passeriformes; Hirundinidae
Exons: 3
Source: RefSeq, a predicted model, not a curated record
ACUGUCUUGCUUAGCCAAUCGCCGGUGGGUUCUGUGAGAAAGGCUGGGAGAGGCUGCAAGCAGUGUUCAAGAAACAGGCUCUGAGGGGAGACGUCUCAGUUUAUUGGUCCCAUUUGAAAAAUUACAUCCCUUCCUCUCAUCCAAAAAAGAGCUGUGAUCUCCUCCUCCCACUCAUCACUUGCAAUACAGCAGCUUUGUGCAGCUUGUAAUCCCAGUGGCAGAGCAAUAAUGCUUCUUCCAGACCUGCAAGGGAACUGCAGCUCCCCAGAAACACAAGGGAACUGCAGGCAGCAUUUUUCCAUCUUCUCACCGACAUGCAAAGGCUGGAAGGAAUGGCAUCCACAGCUAGUUACCCCGUGGGAGCCGUGGAGAAAGCCGAGGAACGGAGACGGGAGGAUGUGUCACUAAAUUAAUGUACCUGCUCUGCUGUGGGACAGCCACAUCAGCAUCACUGCUGUCACCUGGCACCACCACGGGCACUGAGCGAGAAUGAGUCUGUCACACUUCAUUCACCAGGCUUUGAUGAUGGAUUUGGUGAAACCCUUGUCUGGGAUGAUGGGCUUUUCUCCUGUGGAAAUGUCACAGGAGCGCUUGAUGGGUCUGAUGGCCUCAGCGUGGUGGUGCAAAAGCAGCUAUAAUGUAUGGGGGGAGGCAGAGCUGAGCAGGAAUCCCAGCUGUGGAAAGGGAAGGCUGCUGCAGCAGCUUGGCCCAGUGGACGGGUGUUCCCUGUGGGAAUGAACUCCAAUUACCAAAGGUCUGGUUCAAUAGCAGGGCACCUUGUGGGGGCUUCCCAUUAAUAUCCUAACUCAGGGAUCGAAUCUCUCUGCUUCCAGGAAGGAAGCACAGGCUUUAAAAUAGAUAUCCAGAGGAGAUGUAAAUAAUGUGAGCUGUUAGUGUUCAGGAGAGAACCUGACAGACAGGUCCUGCAAAAUCACAAGGUGUGUAAAGAGGGAUGGAGAAGUUGUAGGCCAUCCUUUUUUAUUCUUUCUGUGGAGAUUUUCCAUGGGUGGAUUGCUGUGAGAAGUCCCAUGCUUUCUAUAACAACAGGGCUUCCUAAUCUGAAGUCAAAAUUGAGCUAGUCUGCAGCCCUUGGAAACAGAGAGUGAUUCACUGGGGCUGGGCUGAAUGACUGGAUUUUGAUGCAUUUGGAUUCCUGGCUUCCCUGGAAAUCGAUGUCAAAUGCACCCUUUGGCAUCUGAAACGCUUUUAAAAUCUGGUCCUAAAUGUGUUUAUGCUGCAGGAAGUGUCAGAGUUGCAAUCAAAAUGUGGAAUUUAUGAUAAAAUCUGACCUGUGGCAAAGCCUUGACGCUGCUCACCCAGAAAUUAACAGUGGAUGCAACGCUGGUUAUACUGCAGAGAGAACUGGGAAAAUAAAAAACACAUAUUAAAAGAAUUUCUUUUUUCUCCCUGAAUUAAUUAGCAAAAUAUCCCCAUCUCCGUAUAAAGUCUUUCUGGACCUUGUUGCCAGUAGAAUUACAUGGGCUCAAAUAAUCAGUGAUCUCUGUUGGAAGCAGCAGCAUUUGGUUGGUGUCCCCUCAUGGCAGGGCACGGUUACGCUUGUCCUUGCCCUCGUCUCCCUGGUUUCUCACCAUCUGACCACCACCCACGAGACCCAAGGCAAGCUUUGAGUCAUGGCCCGUGCUGGCACAGGCAGAGAGGGGCUG